GGGAGAUCAUGUAGGAAUGUAGCGAACUAGUGUUGAUGAAUCACAAACGUAAACUGCAACUAUUAAAACAAGACUGAACUCCAAGAAGGAGCGACAUGAGGCAUCAAAAUGUCCUGAUCCCUAAAAGAUAUGUUGGUGUGCCCCUCAAAGCCCACUCUGCAGUCAUGGCAGCAUUUUGCGAGAGAGGUCAGUGUUAUCUAAACACACCCAUUGGGCUAUUUGCUAUAGCACCCUCCAUCAGGCGGGAAGCUCUGAGGAAUCGGCCCAUCACUUCAAUCAGCCGCAGCCGCAUACGAUGAAUUUGUAAUGGCAGCAGGGUUACAGAGGACGAGCAAAGAUGGAGAAUAAGCGAGGGUCGAGAGUACUUUCAGCAUGUUUACGAGCCCCGUGUGCAUAGAGAAGCGGCGAUCUUAUCACUGUUCAGAGGGCAUCCCCCAGAAGAGUGACCGGGGAGGUGGGGUCACACCUCGGAGCAAGCCUGUCAAGGCCUCCACCCACUCAAACAACAGCUCCAAAGCCCAGGGAAAAUGGUAUUGUAGCCAGGGCAAAUAUUGUCUUGUCGCGGCUUAAGGGGCCCAAAAGGCUGUUUGUCUAAAAAACUUCACUCUUUAUUUUUACUUCCUGUGCGUUUCAAGGGCAGAUAGGGGGAGGAAGAGACAUUCAUUAAUGUGGCUCUCAUUUCUCACACAAUCAAAUUAAUUUAUUUUCAUAAAAUAGUCAGGGUCAGGUUGAGAUCAGCCUGUUGAAUCUCUACAAGCCAUUUUAAUAUUUACUUUACAUUACAAUAUUUACAUACCCAUCCUUGUUUAGCAUUAUGUUAUAAUACAUAGUAAUUCAUACAUUUAAGAACACAUUAAUUGAAUUACACUGAGAUGUAUUGGUAUAUUUGGACAUACUGUAGUUUUUAGAAUCAUCACAAUAUUAGGGAGUGUCAACUUAGAGAUUGAAAAGGCAAUAUUGUUCAGUUUUAAUAGGUAUUCAUUUAACAAUAUUUUUAUUGCAAUUAUGUGUGUAUUCUGCAAUGCAUUGUUACAUGCGUCUAAUAUUUUUGUGAUCUUUAACUGUCAUUGCUUGGCAAAGUGGCUGAAUACAUGUAUAUGCGUAUUAGUUAUUACCACCUGAA
Non-coding RNA from Doryrhamphus excisus (bluestripe pipefish), 1123 nucleotides. Lineage: Eukaryota; Metazoa; Chordata; Actinopteri; Syngnathiformes; Syngnathidae. The record is from RefSeq and is a predicted model, not a curated record.